CUGAUCUACACAGCCCUGGUUUUCCAGGAGGGAAAUCAGGCUGAGGGAGACCGGCCUUAGGUGCCCCGACAAAGCGGUGGUAACGCCAAGAGAGUGACAACAGUCUCCCAGCCCAGUGCCCGUCCCAGCCCCCAUGUGGUGUUGGCCACAGCGGCAGGUGACCAGGACUAGCGAACACGGAGGACACUGUGUGCUCCAGCAGCGAGAAGUCCCUUUACUAAAGCCUCUUUUCAACCCUUCAGACCUGGAGGCCGCGGGACCUCAUCUGCCAAGACUAACUGGCGCCGCACCAGGAGGAAACAUCAAGGGGCACUUCGUGGGCCAGCCACGGCCCCACAGGAAAAGUAUUCCAUGUCCUCCUGUGUCUCCGGUCCCAUCUGCCUGGCCCUUCAGAAAGCACCGCGGGGCCACGGAAGGAGCCCUGGGCACAGAGUGCGAAACGUGGCUCAGUCACAGCGUUCGGGACCUGCACUAUUUACUCCCGCUCCGAGCCUCAGUUCCCUUGACUUACAAAGUGGAGACGGUCUCGUUACCGAGGUCGCUGUGAGGACUGAAGACACGAGCAAGAGAGCCCAGCCCAGGCCUGGAACCACGUCCAGUGGGAACACAGGUCUCCCUCCUGAGUCUUCAGGGCUUUAAGAGCCUCUGGAGGACUGUAGCUUGGUGGAACCCACUUGGGGACAAACCAGAAUUUUUGUGUUGGCCAAGGAGAACCCCAGGACAUAAACUUUAAGAAAGAACUCACCGUUCAUCUCCAAGCAGUGAGCAGGCCGCCUGAUGGGAGGAGCUGGGAGGCCGAGUGUGUCAGAGGCUCCCUCCCUGUGCCCAGGUUCUCCCUGCCCCGUUCUGCUUUUCCCCUUCUAUCUUCCACGUUCCCCAAGGAAGCCCUCAUGCUCCUAACACCACUGCUGAGUCUGUUACUGCCGGCCCCUAACAGACACCUCACGCAGGGAGAGGGGCCUGCCCCUGGCCCGAUACACUGGGAGGCCAGAGGAAGAGGAGCUGCUCGUGGGGGGCCAACCGGGAAGGGCCGGGAGGGUCUGGGCACAGGCUGUGGCCAUGUGAGAGAAGCCUGUUCCCCCAACGGGCUGGGCCCGCUCACCCUGCUGCUCUCACCUUCAGCUCCGACUUCUUCUCCAGGGCCUUGGCGAUGACCCUGGCGGCCUCCACACCCACCGUGUUGCCCUCCAAGCGCAGAGCCUCUAAGCCCUCGAAGUCUUCAAUCUCUUUAAUCACGUCUUUGGCUGCCCAGGACCAAAGAACAGAAGCUUAGCCUUAGACUUUUGGAGUCAUGGACAAGCCAAGGCAGGAGAGGCUACUGUGUCACUCGCGACUCCAUGGCUGACAAAGGUGGGUCAGGCAGCCAUGCGGGGGGCUUGGGAGCCAAAGGAAAAGAGCAACUGGCUGCGGAGGCAAAAAUGCUCAGGGCACCUUGUGGGUGGCAAGCGGGCAUGGCCCAGGAUGGCAUGUGCCAGGCCAAGUGGGGAAUAAAAAACGAGGCUAUCCAAAGUGGUUUGGGCUGGUCACACUUACAAAAUGCUGUAUGUAUUCUCCCUCUCUCACGCAGAGAACAAGGUCUAGUGGGAUUGAAAUCAAAUGUUAAAGCAGUAACUACCCGCUCAGAGGUGGUGGGCUCGUGGAUGAUCUCAGUUUUUUUCUAUCACCUUCAAUGAGACGUUCUCAAUAGAUCAGGUUUAAAGCAGCUUUUAAAAGUAUCUGUAAUAUGGUCCCACUUAUUUUUCUUAAAAAGCAGUCAACUAUGUUUAGGGAAAAAAGAAAGACCAGAAAGAAAAUGCACCAGAGUCCUAGGCAGUUGGAAUAAGCAAGGGGAGAAAAAGAGAGAAAAAUGCACCAAAAUUAAC
This is a long non-coding RNA of Talpa occidentalis (Iberian mole), 1862 nucleotides long. RefSeq lists it as uncharacterized. The record is from RefSeq and is a predicted model, not a curated record. The transcript has 3 exons. NCBI's taxonomy places the organism in Eukaryota, Metazoa, Chordata, Mammalia, Eulipotyphla, Talpidae.